This is a long non-coding RNA of Ipomoea nil (Japanese morning glory), 107 nucleotides long. RefSeq lists it as uncharacterized. The record is from RefSeq and is a predicted model, not a curated record. The transcript is spliced from 3 exons. NCBI's taxonomy places the organism in Eukaryota, Viridiplantae, Streptophyta, Magnoliopsida, Solanales, Convolvulaceae.
AAGUAGUUGUCAAGCAAUAUUUAAUUUGUCAUUUGGUAUUCUUCUUAUUCCCAGAAUUUAUCACUUCAUCCUUCUUCUUUCUUGAUUACAAAUUCUGUCAUUGGGCC